Psychroflexus torquis ATCC 700755 is the source of this 118-nucleotide non-coding RNA. NCBI's taxonomy places the organism in Bacteria, Pseudomonadati, Bacteroidota, Flavobacteriia, Flavobacteriales, Flavobacteriaceae. The record is from Rfam.
GAUGGUAAAUCCAUCAGAGUUGUUGUAUAGGCAAUGGUUCUAAACCCCCCCAAGGUGAUUUGAUUGAUAGUCUUGGUAUUGAGCGUUAAGUAUAAUCCAAUCCACUAGGUUGGCAAGU